Molecule: long non-coding RNA, 626 nt
Filed under: Homo sapiens (human)
Lineage: Eukaryota; Metazoa; Chordata; Mammalia; Primates; Hominidae
Description: HSALNT0355311
Source: RNAcentral
AGAUUUCCCCAGCUCAUGGUGGAGAUGGACACAUCCAAAACUCUGAUCUGAGAUGAGUCUCCUUGGUAUCUGAAGGAUGUCCUUCCUCUCUGGGUCUAGAACUCUGGAGUGACAGCUCUUUUCUUCCAGCACCGUAAACACGUUGCUCCCUUGUCUUCUGGAGCCCAUCAUUUCUGCUGAAAAAUAAUCUUAUUGUCCCCUUGAAGGAUGGUCCCUGAAACGUAAGGGACCCGACAGCCACCACGGCGAGGAAGGCGCAGAAGGGGCAGCACGGAGCCGUGAGCCACAGAGAUGCUGCAGCCUGGACCAGCCAUCAUCAGACAGGCGUGUGCCGUCAGCGCUCAACGUGUGAGAAAGCACAGAGCCAGGCCCUUCCCAAGACCCCACUAUGAACCCGAUUGCUUCGGCCUGGCUGCCUUCCUCCAAAGGGGUGCAGGCGGGGCCCACGGGACCCCAGUUCUCUAGUCUCGCCUGACUCUAGGCAGAACUCUAGUGGCUCUGAUCUCUGGGCAGAACUGACUCAAGAGCCACUGAAGAGACCUUCGCCUGGGGUCCUAGACUGGGCUGCAAGGAGUCUUUGAAUCUCUUGAGAUUGUGCACUAAGUAUUUACCUGCACGCAUUUUUC